Pelobates cultripes (western spadefoot toad) is the source of this 217-nucleotide non-coding RNA. NCBI's taxonomy places the organism in Eukaryota, Metazoa, Chordata, Amphibia, Anura, Pelobatidae. The record is from the annotation of a GenBank genome assembly.
CUUAGGCACCAGAACUACAGGCGAGGCCCAAGGACUGUCUGAGUGUUCGAUAACCCCCAGCCUGGUCAUCUCCUGUAUCUCCGUCCGCAUUCCUUCUCGGACUGCUUCCGGGAUACGGUACGGGGGUUGUCGUAGGGGGUUCUGUCCGGGUGUCUCGACCUUGUGUACAGCUAGGGUAGUGUACCCGGGUUCUUGGGAGAACGUCGCCUGCUUCUCC